GAUGAAGAACGUAGUGAAAUGCGAUACGUAAUGUGAAUUGCAGAACUCAGUGAAUCAUCGAGUCUUUGAACGCACAUUGCGCCCCCUGGUAUUCCGGGGGGCAUGCCUGUCCGAGCGUCAUUGCUGCCCUCAAGCACGGCUUGUGUGUUGGGCCUCCGUCCUCCUCCCGGGGGACGGGCCCGAAAGGCAGCGGCGGCACCGCGUCCGGUCCUCGAGCGUAUGGGGCUUCGUCACCCGCUCUUGUAGGCCCGGCCGGCGCUUGCCGACACAUCAAUCUUUUUUCCAGGUUGACCUCGGAUCAGGUAGGGAUACCCGCUGAACUUAAGCAUAUCAAUAAGCGGAGGA
Molecule: unclassified non-coding RNA, 345 nt
Filed under: soil metagenome
Description: partial contains 5.8S ribosomal RNA, internal transcribed spacer 2, and large subunit ribosomal RNA
Rfam family: 5.8S ribosomal RNA (bases 1-120)
Source: RNAcentral